Molecule: ribosomal RNA, 1964 nt
Filed under: Salmonella enterica subsp. enterica serovar Montevideo
Lineage: Bacteria; Pseudomonadati; Pseudomonadota; Gammaproteobacteria; Enterobacterales; Enterobacteriaceae
Description: partial 23S ribosomal RNA
Rfam family: Bacterial large subunit ribosomal RNA
Source: RNAcentral
CACGGCGGGUGCUAACGUCCGUCGUGAAGAGGGAAACAACCCAGACCGCCAGCUAAGGUCCCAAAGUCAUGGUUAAGUGGGAAACGAUGUGGGAAGGCCCAGACAGCCAGGAUGUUGGCUUAGAAGCAGCCAUCAUUUAAAGAAAGCGUAAUAGCUCACUGGUCGAGUCGGCCUGCGCGGAAGAUGUAACGGGGCUAAACCAUGCACCGAAGCUGCGGCAGCGACGCUGAUGCGUUGUUGGGUAGGGGAGCGUUCUGUAAGCCUGCGAAGGUGGCCUGUGAGGGUUGCUGGAGGUAUCAGAAGUGCGAAUGCUGACAUAAGUAACGAUAAAGCGGGUGAAAAGCCCGCUCGCCGGAAGACCAAGGGUUCCUGUCCAACGUUAAUCGGGGCAGGGUGAGUCGACCCCUAAGGCGAGGCCGAAAGGCGUAGUCGAUGGGAAACGGGUUAAUAUUCCCGUACUUGGUGUUACUGCGAAGGGGGGACGGAGAAGGCUAUGUUGGCCGGGCGACGGUUGUCCCGGUUUAAGCGUGUAGGUGUGUGUUCCAGGUAAAUCCGGUUCACUUUAACACUGAGGCGUGAUGACGAGGCACUACGGUGCUGAAGCAACAAAUGCCCUGCUUCCAGGAAAAGCCUCUAAGCAUCAGGUAACAUCAAAUCGUACCCCAAACCGACACAGGUGGUCAGGUAGAGAAUACCAAGGCGCUUGAGAGAACUCGGGUGAAGGAACUAGGCAAAAUGGUGCCGUAACUUCGGGAGAAGGCACGCUGACACGUAGGUGAAGUGAUUUACUCAUGGAGCUGAAGUCAGUCGAAGAUACCAGCUGGCUGCAACUGUUUAUUAAAAACACAGCACUGUGCAAACACGAAAGUGGACGUAUACGGUGUGACGCCUGCCCGGUGCCGGAAGGUUAAUUGAUGGGGUCAGCGCAAGCGAAGCUCCUGAUCGAAGCCCCGGUAAACGGCGGCCGUAACUAUAACGGUCCUAAGGUAGCGAAAUUCCUUGUCGGGUAAGUUCCGACCUGCACGAAUGGCGUAAUGAUGGCCAGGCUGUCUCCACCCGAGACUCAGUGAAAUUGAACUCGCUGUGAAGAUGCAGUGUACCCGCGGCAAGACGGAAAGACCCCGUGAACCUUUACUAUAGCUUGACACUGAACAUUGAGCCUUGAUGUGUAGGAUAGGUGGGAGGCUUUGAAGUGUGGACGCCAGUCUGCAUGGAGCCGACCUUGAAAUACCACCCUUUAAUGUUUGAUGUUCUAACGUGGACCCGUGAUCCGGGUUGCGGACAGUGUCUGGUGGGUAGUUUGACUGGGGCGGUCUCCUCCUAAAGAGUAACGGAGGAGCACGAAGGUUGGCUAAUCCUGGUCGGACAUCAGGAGGUUAGUGCAAUGGCAUAAGCCAGCUUGACUGCGAGCGUGACGGCGCGAGCAGGUGCGAAAGCAGGUCAUAGUGAUCCGGUGGUUCUGAAUGGAAGGGCCAUCGCUCAACGGAUAAAAGGUACUCCGGGGAUAACAGGCUGAUACCGCCCAAGAGUUCAUAUCGACGGCGGUGUUUGGCACCUCGAUGUCGGCUCAUCACAUCCUGGGGCUGAAGUAGGUCCCAAGGGUAUGGCUGUUCGCCAUUUAAAGUGGUACGCGAGCUGGGUUUAGAACGUCGUGAGACAGUUCGGUCCCUAUCUGCCGUGGGCGCUGGAGAACUGAGGGGGGCUGCUCCUAGUACGAGAGGACCGGAGUGGACGCAUCACUGGUGUUCGGGUUGUCAUGCCAAUGGCACUGCCCGGUAGCUAAAUGCGGAAGAGAUAAGUGCUGAAAGCAUCUAAGCACGAAACUUGCCCCGAGAUGAGUUCUCCCUGAGACUUUAGGUCUCCUGAAGGAACGUUGAAGACGACGACGUUGAUAGGCCGGGUGUGUAAGCGCAGCGAUGCGUUGAGCUAACCGGUACUAAUGAACCGUGAGGCUUAACCUUACA